Non-coding RNA from Cherax quadricarinatus, 1164 nucleotides. NCBI's taxonomy places the organism in Eukaryota, Metazoa, Arthropoda, Malacostraca, Decapoda, Parastacidae. The record is from RefSeq and is a predicted model, not a curated record.
AUGGAGGUGAAGCAGCUGGUACACUCCACCAGCUGUGUGAGAGUCGUGGCAACACGACCAUCACUCAAGGUAUAUAAGGCAGUUACACUAAGAGCGUCUCAGCAGUGUGCGUGCUAUAUUUCUUCAGGCGCUACUACCACCACCACCACCACCAUGAAGGUCGUCGUCUGCGUGCUGGUAGUCGUGGCCACCGUCUCACAAGUCGUCAACAGAGCUUCUUGCGCCCCCAUCCCUCAAGCUGGGCGGCAAGCAGACAAUCCUCGCCUCCUCUUCCCUACAAACAUUAUCUUCAACCCCUUCACCUCUGCUACCACCACUACCCCAGCUACCACCACUGCCACCACCACCACCGCGGCAACCACUACCGCCCGCCAAUUUCCAUACAUCCUACUAGAUGGCUUCCAAUCAUUCCUUAAUCCAUUCCUUCCAGCUACUAACUGUCCGAAUGGUAAUACUUGUGUUGCGGCCUUAACCUUCGCUACUCCCUAGCCUUGAAACACCCCCCUAGCCUUGAAACACUCCCCCUAGCCUUGAAAGAUUCCCUGUCUGUAAUCAGGUGACUUAGGAUCCUGAACCAUCUUGAAAGCCAGGUCACCUAGACACCUAGAUCACUCUCGGAUUUAGGUCACCUAGUACCUGCGUCACCUAGAAACUUGGAUCAAACCCUCAGAGCUACUCAACAGAAAGGUACAUGAUUCCUGUAUCCGACAACCACUCUAACCUCCACAAGUACAGCCUCACUGAUGCUGUAACCUCCACAAGUACAGCCUUACUGAUGCUGUAAUCUCCACAAGUACAGCCUUACUGAUGCUGUAACCUCCACAAGUACGGCCUUACUGAUGCUGUAACCUCCACAAGCACAGCCUUACUGAUGCUGUAACCUCCACAAGUACAGCCUUACUGAUGCUGUAACCUCAACAAGUACGGCCUUACUGAUGCUGUAACCUCAACAAGUACAGCCUUACUGAUGCUGUAACCUCCACAAGUACGGCCUUACUGAUGCUGUAAUCUCCACAAGUACGCCUCACUGAUGCUGUAACCUCCACAAGUACAGCCUUACUGAUGCUGUAACCUCCACAAGUACAGCCUUACUGAUGCUGUAACCUCCACAAGUACAGCCUUACUGAUGCUGUAACCUCCACAAGUACAGCCUUACUGAUGCUG